CCAAUCGAACCCGGAGAUAGCUGGUUCUCCUCGAAAUAGCUUUAGGGCUAGCCUCAUACAAGUCUGCCGGAGGUAGAGCACUGAAUUUCCGCGGGGGCGUCAAAGCCUACCAAAGAAUAUCAAACUCCGAAUGCCGGACAGAUGGUGUAUGGGAGUCAGACUGUACGAGAUAAGUUGGACAGUCAAAAGGGAAAGAGCCCAGACCGCCGGCUAAGGUCCCAAAGUGGGUGUUAAGUGGAAAAGGAUGUGGGAUCUCUAAGACAACCAGGAUGUUGGCUCAGAAGCAGCCAUUCAUUAAAAGAGUGCGUAACAGCUCACUGGUCGAGAGGUCCUGCGCCGAAAAUGUCCGGGGCUGAAACACCACACCGAAGCCGCGGAACCCGUAAGGGUUGGUAGAGGAGCAUUCUUAGGGGAGCGAAGCAUUACCGGAAGGGGAUGUGGACCGCUAAGAAGAGAGAAUGCCGGAAUGAGUAGCGAGAGCAAGGUGGGAAUCCUUGCGGCCGAAUAUCCAAGGUUUCCAGAGUAAAGCUGAUCUGCUCUGGGUAAGUCGGGGCCUAAGGAGAGGCAGAGAUGCGUAUCCGAUGGACAGCAGGUUUAAGAUUCCUGCACCCCUUGUUAUCAGAACUGCGGGGACACGGGAAGGGAAGCAGAGCCGGGAAUGGAAAGCCCGGUGCAAGCGAAGUAGUCGCAGGGUUGGAAAAUCCGCCCUGCAUGAGACGAAGGCGUGAUGCGGAGCGAAAUGAAGUAGUGAAGCUGCGGCCCCUUCCUGUCGAGAAAAGCCGCUAUCGUGUAGCAAGGGCCCGUACCGUAAACCGACACAGGUGGAUGAGGAGAGAAUCCUAAGGCCGGCGGGAGAAGUGUUGUUAAGGAACUCGGCAAAAUGACUCCGUAACUUCGGGAGAAGGAGUGCUGCGCAAGCAGCCGCAGAGAAAUGGCCCAAGCAACUGUUUAGCAAAAACACAGGUCUAUGCGAAACCGAAAGGUGAGGUAUAUGGGCUGACGCCUGCCCGGUGCUGGAAGGUUAAGGGGAGAGGUUAGCGCAAGCGAAGCUUUGAACUUAAGCCCCAGUAAACGGCGGCCGUAACUAUAACGGUCCUAAGGUAGCGAAAUUCCUUGUCGGGUAAGUUCCGACCCGCACGAAAGGCGUAAUGAUUUGGGCACUGUCUCAACAACACACCCGGUGAAAUUGAAAUACCAGUGAAGAUGCUGGUUACCCGCGCCAGGACGGAAAGACCCCAUGGAGCUUUACUCCAGCCUGAUACUGGGAUUCGGUAUUGCAUGUACAGGAUAGGUGGGAGGCUGAGAACUCAUGGCGCCAGCCGUGAGGGAGCCGGUGUUGGGAUACCACCCCUGCAGUACUGGGUUUCUAACCUGCGCCCGUGACCCGGGCGGGGGACAAUGUCAGGCGGGGAGUUUGACUGGGGCGGUCGCCUCCGAAAGGGUAUCGGAGGCGCUCAAAGGUUCCCUCAGAAUGGUUGGAAACCAUUCGAAGAGUG
This 1496-nucleotide ribosomal RNA is filed under the name human gut metagenome. RNAcentral describes it as "bacterial LSU rRNA". It matches the Rfam family "Bacterial large subunit ribosomal RNA", at positions 829 to 2351 of the family's 2925-position model. The record is from RNAcentral.